Cricetulus griseus (Chinese hamster) is the source of this 417-nucleotide non-coding RNA. The record is from RefSeq and is a predicted model, not a curated record. Lineage: Eukaryota; Metazoa; Chordata; Mammalia; Rodentia; Cricetidae.
GCACUGGACCCAGACUUCCCAGGAACCCAGGGUCCUAGGUUGUGGUUUAGCUGCCACUGAAAGCAAGGAAAAAAUGAAGGUAGAGACUCCAAGCUCUGGGUUCUGGAGGAAGAGCUCUCAGGAGGCUGUGUGAGACACUCAAAUACUUCACAAGCAGAAACUGGGCGAUGGUGUUGCCAUUGUGACUGAUUCCGCCGGCUGCUUCAAGCUCCCGCUGCCUUGCCCCUCCCUGCCAUGAUGGACUGUACCACAAACUGUGAGCCAAAAUAAGCCUUUCAUCCUUUGAGUUGCUUCUGUGACAGUUAUUUGCUAGCUUGAGACAGGACCUCACUGUGUAGCCCAGGUUGGCCUGGAAUUCACAGAGACCCACCUGCCUCUGCCUCUCCUGAAUGCUGGGAUUAAAGGCGUGCACCACCA